GCCCAGCUAGCUCAGUAGGUAGAGCAUGAGACUUUUAAUCUUAGGGCUGUGGGUUCAAGUUCCACAUUGGACA
Non-coding RNA from Arvicola amphibius (Eurasian water vole), 73 nucleotides. Lineage: Eukaryota; Metazoa; Chordata; Mammalia; Rodentia; Cricetidae. The record is from the annotation of a RefSeq genome assembly.